RNAcentral lists this long non-coding RNA (330 nucleotides) under Sus scrofa (pig). RNAcentral describes it as "lncRNA (ENSSSCG00005000945.1)". The record is from RNAcentral. Lineage: Eukaryota; Metazoa; Chordata; Mammalia; Artiodactyla; Suidae.
UUUUUGAAAUUCCAUGGAUACUGCCAUUCAAGCGUUGAAGAAGGAUUAACUUGCUUCUGAUCUGUUUCCUGCCUUCAGACGAGACCCAAGGCUCUCGGGCACGCAUGGCAGAGUUUGAUUCGAUGGAGUGUAAACCUGGGCAAGACGAGCGCAAAGAGAGAUUGAGCUAGGAUUUCCGUGAAAACUAAACCGAAUGUUUUGGAAAGGCUUGAUAAAGGGUUAUCCUGAGUGAGGCCAUCAGCCUCUGGGAGCCUCCGUUGACGUGUGACAUGCAGAUACAAGUGCCUACCCUGCAAGAAUGAUGAAAGGAAUAGAAAUAAUGAAAAGCAG